Molecule: ribosomal RNA, 325 nt
Filed under: uncultured Anoxybacillus sp.
Lineage: Bacteria; Bacillati; Bacillota; Bacilli; Caryophanales; Anoxybacillaceae
Description: bacterial SSU rRNA
Rfam family: Bacterial small subunit ribosomal RNA
Source: RNAcentral
GUCAGCUCGUGUCGUGUAGAUGUUGGUUAAGUCCGCAACGAGCGCAACCCUCGACCUUAGUUGCCAGCAUUCAGUUGGGCACUCUAAGGUGACUGCCGGCUAAAAGUCGGAGGAAGGUGGGGAUGACGUCAAAUCAUCAUGCCCUUAUGACCUGGGCUACACACGUGCUACAAUGGGCGGUACAAAGGGUCGCGAACCCGCGAGGGGGAGCCAAUCCCAAAAAGCCGCUCUCAGUUCGGAUUGCAGGCUGCAACUCGCCUGCAUGAAGCCGGAAUCGCUAGUAAUCGCGGAUCAGCAUGCCGCGGUGAAUACGUUCCCGGGCCUU